UUUCAUGGCCACGACACGUUUGGGCGCCGUAACCAAGGCCUCGGUAACAGCAUGAAACUCGCGUUGAGGGGAGAAAAAUUUCAUCCGGCGAUCCCGUGCGGCCGCCCACCUCAUUCCACGAGCGCGCUCCACUGCAAUCUUCCCGCCAGCUUCCGGAUUCUUCCCGCCCCUGCCCACUGCAUCUCCAUCUCUCCUGCCCUCCUCCACAUCUUCUUGCCCAUGCCCACCUCAUCCCAAGUAGCAGCGAGUAGAUCCAACUCCAUGGAUGGAACGCCUCCUGGCAGCGGCGGACGGAGCACUUCCGGCAAGCGAGGAAAAGGACGCGGGGGCAGCCGGCUAGGGAUGAAGACGUCGUCCUUGCGUGCGCCUGCGCCCUCGCCGCCUCCUUCGUCUCUAGUGUCGACGCCGACCGCGCCGUCGCCUACUUCCGCCCCAGCUCCACCACCGGUGACGACGUCGUCGAUUUCUUCCCUCGGUGUGCCAACCUCUUCUCUUGCUGCACCGACUGUGAUGCCACGGCCACCGGAAGGACCAAGAUGGGGGGCCAUACCCCCAACUUUUCCAUCUCAACAUGGAAAUCAGCAAGGCCCAAGUACAUGAAGAACAGUCACGUCCCAUUGGUAGAGAAGCAGCAAAGGCCGAGCGCAGUGGAAAACGUAAGAAGGAAAACAUUAUGGAAGGAAUUGUCAUUCUUGGAGACAAUAUUGAGAAAAUUGUUAAGAUGCAGGAAGAUCGGAAGGUGGAGCGUGAAAAGGUCACAGAAGCACAAAUUCAGAUAUCAAAUGCAAAUUUGAAGGCAGCAAAGGAGCAAAAGGAAGCAAGAAUGUUUGAGGUCUAUAAUUCCCUACUUAAUCAAGAUACAAGUCACAUGUCUGAAGAUCAAAUGGCUAACCGAGACAAGGCAAUACGCAAGUUAGAAGAAAAACUAUUUGUGGACUGAAGAUCAAAAGGCUAAGGGUGAAAAAGCAACUAGCAAGAGUGACAAUUUACCUCCAGGAAUCAUAUGGGUGCAUCUCGGCAUUGUUGGUUGAAUGCUUAUCUUCAAUUCUUCUUAGUUAUCUAGCUUAGUUUGAGUGAUAAUUCUUCUUAGUUAUCUUGCUGUUCCAGUUAUCGAAACUUAACUAUGUAAAUGCAGUACUGCAGUUCAUGUUUGAUUAUCUUGCUGUUCCAGAUAUCUAUCUUAUCUCUAAACAAUCUUAUGAACUGCGUGUGACAACUGAAUAUGUGUAGUACUGCACGUUUGUAGUGCACGUUUGUAUGACAACUGAACUAUGUCAUUGCAGUUUGAAUUGCGUGUUCAGUUUGUGUGAAAAUGGCUACACGAGCA
Molecule: long non-coding RNA, 1327 nt
Organism: Sorghum bicolor (sorghum)
Lineage: Eukaryota; Viridiplantae; Streptophyta; Magnoliopsida; Poales; Poaceae
Exons: 3
Source: RefSeq, a predicted model, not a curated record